Molecule: ribosomal RNA, 361 nt
Filed under: uncultured bacterium
Lineage: Bacteria
Description: partial 16S ribosomal RNA
Rfam family: Bacterial small subunit ribosomal RNA
Source: RNAcentral
CCUACGGGUGGCAGCAGUGAGGAAUAUUGGUCAAUGGACGGAAGUCUGAACCAGCCAAGCCGCGUGAAGGAUGAAGGUUCUAAGAGUUGUAAACUUCUUUUGUCAAGGGGCAAAAGCAGACUCGCGUGUCUGUCUGAAGGUACCGUACGAAUAAGGAUCGGCUAACUCCGUGCCAGCAGCCGCGGUAAUACGGAGGAUUCAAGCGUUAUCCGGAUUUAUUGGGUUUAAAGGGUGCGUAGGCGGUCUGUUAAGUCAGAGGUGAAAUCCCGGGGCUCAACCUCGGCAUUGCGGUGGAUACUGGUCGGCUUGAGAGUAGGUGAGGUAGGCGGAAUGUGUGGUGUAGCGGUGAAAUGCUUAGAGA